CCGCGCCCUGCCCCCUCGCCCCUCCCUGCGCCCCCGGCCGCCUCCGACCCCAGCGGAAAGGGGCUUCCUGCGCCUUCGCAGACACGUGUGCCCCUUUCAUUUCCGCGUCCCCAACAGGCGGGGAGGCAGGGUCCCAAGGAGAAGCGAUUUACUUGCCCAGUAUCACAAUGGGGGGCGGGGGGGACCGAGGGGAGAGAGGAGCCUGAAAUAAGGGUCGGAGAAAAAUUAGAAGUUUGUUCAUAGAACUGUUCCUACCAAGAACAACCGGGAGCACUUCUUAUAUCAUCAUGCCACUGGGCGUUUCAGGCUCUGGCACCAGAAUCCGGGAGAAGGUCACCACGAGAUGCCAGUAGGACGCUCCCCCCUGUGGACUUGGCCAUAAUCUUUCCCCAUCCUUCAAGACCGAAAGAGCCAUGUCCGUGGAGGCUGCCCUGGUUUCUCCAACGUCUCCUACCCCUGAGCCCUGGAGGACUCUGUCCGAACCUUCUGACUGGCCAAGAUGAAGACCACGUGAGACAGGUGUCGGCAACCUACAGCCCAUGAGUCAAAUCGAGCCCACUCCCUCUUUUUGUACAACCCACAAGCUGAGAAUGGCUUUUACAUUUUAAGGGGUUGGGGGAAAAAAUCAAAAGAAGAGUAACAUUGUGACGUGAAAGCUGUA
Molecule: long non-coding RNA, 661 nt
Filed under: Equus caballus (horse)
Lineage: Eukaryota; Metazoa; Chordata; Mammalia; Perissodactyla; Equidae
Description: lncRNA (ENSECAG00000044350.1)
Source: RNAcentral